CCAAACUUGGUCAUUUAGAGGAAGUAAAAGUCGUAACAAGGUUUCCGUAGGUGAACCUGCGGAAGGAUCAUUAUUGAAUACACUUGAUAGGUUGUAGCUGGCUCUUUAGAGCAUGUGCACACCUGUCUUGACCUCUAUUCAUCCACCUGUGCACUAUUUGUAGUCUUUGGAGACUGAGAUGGAACUGUUUAUAAGUCGGUUGACAGACCGGGAUAGGGGAAUGCUUUGUGCUAUCCUCAAUAAAAUAGUGAGCUCUCACUCCAGAGUCUAUGUUUUUAUCCAUAAACCAAGUAUGUUAUUGAAUGUAUUCAUUGGCUACAAUGCCUAUAAAAUAUUAUACAACUUUCAGCAACGGAUCUCUUGGCUCUCGCAUCGAUGAAGAACGCAGC
RNAcentral lists this unclassified non-coding RNA (389 nucleotides) under uncultured fungus. Its description in RNAcentral is "partial contains small subunit ribosomal RNA, internal transcribed spacer 1, and 5.8S ribosomal RNA". The stretch from base 1 to 73 matches the Rfam family "Eukaryotic small subunit ribosomal RNA", at positions 1759 to 1831 of the family's 1831-position model. Lineage: Eukaryota; Fungi. The record is from RNAcentral.